AAAACUUUCAACAACGGAUCUCUUGGUUCUGGCAUCGAUGAAGAACGCAGCGAAAUGCGAUAAGUAAUGUGAAUUGCAGAAUUCAGUGAAUCAUCGAAUCUUUGAACGCACAUUGCGCCCCUUGGUAUUCCGGGGGGCAUGCCUGUUCGAGCGUCAUUA
RNAcentral lists this ribosomal RNA (159 nucleotides) under Macrophomina phaseolina. Its description in RNAcentral is "5.8S ribosomal RNA". It matches the Rfam family "5.8S ribosomal RNA". Rfam says of the family: 5.8S ribosomal RNA (5.8S rRNA) is a component of the large subunit of the eukaryotic ribosome. It is transcribed by RNA polymerase I as part of the 45S precursor that also contains 18S and 28S rRNA. Lineage: Eukaryota; Fungi; Ascomycota; Dothideomycetes; Botryosphaeriales; Botryosphaeriaceae. The record is from RNAcentral. RNAcentral also lists the same sequence under 67 other names.